This 565-nucleotide ribosomal RNA is filed under the name uncultured bacterium. RNAcentral describes it as "bacterial SSU rRNA". It matches the Rfam family "Bacterial small subunit ribosomal RNA", at positions 338 to 916 of the family's 1533-position model. The record is from RNAcentral.
CCUACGGGAGGCAGCAGUGAGGAAUUUUCCGCAAUGGGCUAACGCCUGACGGAGCAAUGCCGCGUGGAGGAGGAAGGCCUGUGGGUCGUAAACUCCUUUUCUCAGAGAAGAAGAUCUGACGGUAUCUGAGGAAUAAGCAUCGGCUAACUCUGUGCCAGCAGCCGCGGUAAUACAGGGGAUGCAAGCGUUAUCCGGAAUUAUUGGGCGUAAAGCGUCCUGAGGUGGCUUACCCAGUCGACUGUGAAAGCUCAAGGCUCAACCUUGAAACGGCAGUCGAAACUUGUAAGCUUGAGUACGGUAGAGGCAGAGGGAAUUCCCGGAGGAGAGGUGAAAUUCGUAGAUAUCGGGAGGAAGGCCAAAGGCGAAAGCACUCUGCUGGGCCGAUUACUGACACUGACAGACGAAAGCUAGGGGAGCGAAAGGGAUUAGAUACCCCUGUAGUCCUAGCCGUAAACGAUGGAUACUAAGUGUUGCGCGACUCAACUCGUGCAGUGCUGCAGCUAACGCGGUAAGUAUCCCGCCUGGGGAGUNUGCUCGCAAGNGAGAAACUCGAAAGGAUUGACGG